Molecule: long non-coding RNA, 651 nt
Filed under: Oreochromis niloticus (Nile tilapia)
Lineage: Eukaryota; Metazoa; Chordata; Actinopteri; Cichliformes; Cichlidae
Description: lncRNA (ENSONIG00000022474.2)
Source: RNAcentral
AUGUGUGCUGCUGAGGAGGAUGUACAGGGGCACCUGCAGCCAAAUCCAAGCCUCCUCAGCAACUUCAAGUCUGUCAGCGUGCUGAGGUCACAGAAACAAGAAAAGCAGCUUGACACUUCAGAGUGUUGUUUACAGUUUUCUGUCAUCAUGAUCUCCCCUGAAGUUUAUCACUAUUAUACAAGCAAUGGUGACGGUGUGGAGAGACGGUGGUGUUUCCUCAGAAGAACCAGCAGAGUCACAAAGGACACGAGUCCAUCUCACCACCUUGACUUGCUGACUGAUGCUCGUCUGCACUGCACAGAGGAAAUCAACUGACCGAGGUUUGUUUCUGAGUGAGGGAGAGAGGAGUCAUCAUCCAGGUAAAGUGACGUGGAUCAGUGGAUACACUUGUCUCCCCUUUAAAGGAGACACUCUUAGAGAGAGACGAUCCGGGUCAUCAUAAAAUGUUAGUGCUUUCAAAUACACAAACAUUUUUAAAGGACAAAAUCGAACAUCCCACUUUGACUGUAAUACAAUUAAAUCUUUGCAUGUGUGUUUUCAAACUCUCAGAUGGGAAGGAUAUCAAUCUUGGACUGUCUAACCUGCAGGAGCAGCACUGAAUAACCACCACACAUGAGCAUGUUCCUGCAACAUUCAGCAGCAUUGCUUUUG